GCGGGGGUGGCAGAGCCUGGCCAAAUGCGUAAGGUUGAGGGCCUUAUCCCUUAGUGGGUGCGCGUGUUCGAAUCACGUCCCCCGCA
Molecule: transfer RNA, 86 nt
Filed under: Nanobdellota archaeon
Lineage: Archaea; Nanobdellati; Nanobdellota
Also listed under: 1 other name
Description: tRNA-Leu
Rfam family: tRNA
About the family: Transfer RNA (tRNA) molecules are approximately 80 nucleotides in length. Their secondary structure includes four short double-helical elements and three loops (D, anti-codon, and T loops).
Source: RNAcentral